This 490-nucleotide ribosomal RNA is filed under the name uncultured bacterium. RNAcentral describes it as "partial 16S ribosomal RNA". It matches the Rfam family "Bacterial small subunit ribosomal RNA", at positions 30 to 507 of the family's 1533-position model. The record is from RNAcentral.
AUUGAACGCUGGCGGCAGGCCUAACACAUGCAAGUCAAACGGUAACAGGAAGAAGCUUGCUUCUUUGCUGACGAGUGGCGGACGGGUGAGUAAUGUCUGGGAAACUGCCUGAUGGAGGGGGAUAACUACUGGAAACGGUAGCUAAUACCGCAUAACGUCGCAAGACCAAAGAGGGGGACCUUCGGGCCUCUUGCCAUCGGAUGUGCCCAGAUGGGAUUAGCUAGUAGGUGGGGUAACGGCUCACCUAGGCGACGAUCCCUAGCUGGUCUGAGAGGAUGACCAGCCACACUGGAACUGAGACACGGUCCAGACUCCUACGGGAGGCAGCAGUGGGGAAUAUUGCACAAUGGGCGCAAGCCUGAUGCAGCCAUGCCGCGUGUAUGAAGAAGGCCUUCGGGUUGUAAAGUACUUUCAGCGGGGAGGAAGGGAGUAAAGUUAAUACCUUGGCUCAUUGACGUUACCCGCAGAAGAAGCACCGGCUAACUCCGUG